This 253-nucleotide ribosomal RNA is filed under the name uncultured bacterium. RNAcentral's name for it is "partial 16S ribosomal RNA". It matches the Rfam family "Bacterial small subunit ribosomal RNA", at positions 524 to 776 of the family's 1533-position model. The record is from RNAcentral.
UACGAAGGGGGCUAGCGUUGCUCGGAAUUACUGGGCGUAAAGCGCACGUAGGCGGUCUUUUAAGUCGGGGGUGAAAUCCUGGAGCUCAACUCCAGAACUGCCUUCGAUACUGGAAGACUUGAGUCCGGGAGAGGAAAGUGGAAUUCCUGGUGUAGCGGUGAAAUGCGUAGAUAUCAGGAGGAACACCGGUGGUGUAAACGGCUUUCUGGACCAUAACUGACGCUGAGGCACGAAAGCGUGGGUAGCAAACAGG